This 470-nucleotide ribosomal RNA is filed under the name uncultured bacterium. RNAcentral describes it as "bacterial SSU rRNA". It matches the Rfam family "Bacterial small subunit ribosomal RNA", at positions 56 to 516 of the family's 1533-position model. The record is from RNAcentral.
UGCAGUCGAACGGCAGCACAGCAGAGCUUGCUCUGUGGGUGGCGAGUGGCGGACGGGUGAGGAAUACAUGGGAAUCUGCCCAGUCGUGGGGGAUAACGUAUGGAAACGUACGCUAAUACCGCAUGCGCCCUACGGGGGAAAGCCGGGGACCUUCGGGCCUGGCGCGAUUGGAUGAGCCCAUGUUCGAUUAGCUAGUUGGGGGGGUAAAGGCCCACCAAGGCGACGAUCGAUAGCUGGUCUGAGAGGAUGAUCAGCCACACUGGGACUGAGACACGGCCCAGACUCCUACGGGAGGCAGCAGUAGGGAAUAUUGGACAAUGGGCGCAAGCCUGAUCCAGCCAUGCCGCGUGAGUGAAGAAGGCCCUCGGGUUGUAAAGCUCUUUUGUCCGGAAAGAAAAGCAUUCGGUUAAUACCCGGGUGUUCUGACGGUACCGGAAGAAUAAGCACCGGCUAACUUCGUGCCAGCAGCC